GAUGAACGCUGGCGGCGUGCCUAAUACAUGCAAGUCGAGCGAACAGACGAGGAGCUUGCUCCUCUGACGUUAGCGGCGGACGGGUGAGUAACACGUGGAUAACCUACCUAUAAGACUGGGAUAACUUCGGGAAACCGGAGCUAAUACCGGAUAAUAUAUUGAACUGCAUGGUUCAAUAGUGAAAGACGGUUUUGCUGUCACUUAUUGAUGGAUCCGCGCCGCAUUAGCUAGUUGGUAAGGUAACGGCUUACCAAGGCAACGAUGCGUAGCCGACCUGAGAGGGUGAUGGGCCACACUGGAACUGAGACACGGUCCAGACUCCUACGGGAGGCAGCAGUAGGGAAUCUUCCGCAAUGGGCGAAAGCCUGACGGAGAAACGCCGCGUGAGUGAGGAAGGUCUUCGGAUCGUAAAACUCUGUUAUUAGGGAAGAACAAAUGUGUAAGUAACUAUGCACGUAGUGACGGUACCUAAUCAGAAAGCCACGGCUAACUACGUG
Molecule: ribosomal RNA, 497 nt
Filed under: uncultured bacterium
Lineage: Bacteria
Description: partial 16S ribosomal RNA
Rfam family: Bacterial small subunit ribosomal RNA
Source: RNAcentral